UCUGGCAACUCGGCUUUAAAUCUGGUCGUAGAAAAAAAAAAGUAAAUCUAGCGGAUUUGAAAAAAAAAAGUAAAUGAAGUUUCGCUACGCAUGUUAGUUCUACAGGUCACUAAAUAUAAUAACAAAUUAAUCUUAAUCUCGAGUCAGGUGUUCCUUCAAGCUGCAAGACAAUUAACAUUCAUACCUGGCUUGCUGAAGAUAUGCACU
Non-coding RNA from Biomphalaria pfeifferi, 207 nucleotides. NCBI's taxonomy places the organism in Eukaryota, Metazoa, Mollusca, Gastropoda, Planorbidae. The record is from the annotation of a GenBank genome assembly.